AUGGAUUCUCCUUCCGAAGAACAACGGUUGGCUGGUCUGCUUAUUCAAAUGAGUUAUGUAAUAAGACAACCAGUGCCGGUUUACCAAGAGCAUCAGCAAGAUGUUUGAAUGACACUGGAUCUCCAAUGUUUGGUUCUCCUCACAAGCUGCAGUGUGAAUUGCUCCUCAGGGACAUUCAAGGAAAUAUCUCCAGCAGUCCAGGUGAUUUACUAAAGUUAGCCGUCAGUACUCAGAUCCUGACCUCCCAACCAGAGCAGCUGUCAGCUGACAACAUCACCACAGCAGCUCAGAUAGCUAACACACUGCUUCAGUCUGCAAAUAUCACAGAGGACAUCGCAGUGGCAGCUGUAACUACCAUCAGUCAGCUGCUGAAUGCCAGUGAGGAGAGUACACAGGAGAGAGACGCUGUCCAGAGCCUCACAGAGACCCUGGAGAAGUUUUCCAUGGACCAGCACAAUAAUGUGUCCUUGAUUGUUCAGCCCAAACUGGCAGUCCAGUCUGUCCAAGUACCAAGUGACUCAGUAGGGAUCCAGUUUACUGCUCUAACUGG
Molecule: long non-coding RNA, 550 nt
Filed under: Salmo salar (Atlantic salmon)
Lineage: Eukaryota; Metazoa; Chordata; Actinopteri; Salmoniformes; Salmonidae
Description: lncRNA (ENSSSAG00000096079.1)
Source: RNAcentral